UCAAAGAAACGAAGGCUUACGGUGGAGACCUAGGCACUCAGAGACGAUGAAGGGCGCAGAUACCGGCGAUACGCUUCGGGGAGCUGGUAACAAGCAUCGAUCCGAAGAUCCCCGAAUAGGGCAACCUCUCAAAGAACUCCUUUUUGAAUUCAUAGAAAAGGAAGAGGCAACCCGGUGAACUGAAACAUCUCAGUAGCCGGAGGAAAAGAAAGCAAAAGCGAUUCCCGGAGUAGCGGCGAGCGAAAUGGGAACAGCCUAAACCACUUUACUUUUGUAAGUGGGGUUGUGGGAAUCCAAAUUCAUGCGCAAUGCGCAUAAAUCAAAAAAAGAUGAGACGAAGCAGCUGAAUCCUGCACCAUAGAUGGUGAAAGUCCAGUAGUCAAAAACUUUCAAACCUUGGAAAAUCCCGAGUAGCAUGGGACACGUGGAAUCCCGUGUGAAUCAGCGAGGACCACCUCGUAAGGCUAAAUACUCCUGAGUGACCGAUAGUGAAGAAGUACAGCGAUGGAAAGGUGAAAUAGAACCCCCUGUAGGGGAGUGAAAGAGAACAUGAAACCGUAAGCUGACAAGCAGUGGGAGGAUAAUCUGACCGCGUGCCUGUUGAAGAAUGAGCCGGCGACUUAUAGGAAGUGGCAGGGUUAAGGAGUUAUAUCCGGAGCCCAAGCGAAAGCGAGUCUGAAUAGGGCGACAAAGUCACUUCUUAUGGACCCGAACCUGGAUGAUCUAAUCAUGGCCAGGUUGAAGCUUGGGUAACACCAAGUCGAGGACCGAACCGACCGAUGUUGAAAAAUCGGCGGAUGAGCUGUGAUUAGGGGUGAAAUUCCAAUCGAAUUCAGAGCUAGCUGGAUCUCCCCGAAAUGCGUUGAGGCGCAGCGGCAACGAUGUCCUGUCUAAGGGUAGAGCGACUGUUUCGGUGCGGGCUGCGAAAGCGGUACCAAGUCGUGGCAAACUCCGAAUAUUAGGCAAUGGAUUCCGUAAGCCAGUGAGACUGUGGGAGAUAAGUUCCAUAGUCAAGAGGGAAACAGCCCAGACCAUCAGCUAAGGCCCCUAAAUGAUUGCUAAGUGGAAAAGGAUGUGAGAAUGCUGAAACAACCAGGAGGUUCGCUUAGAAGCAGCUAUUCCUUGAAAGAGUGCGUAAUAGCUCACUGGUAAAGCGUUCUUGCGCCGACAAUGGCCGGGACUAAGCAAUCUGCCGAAGCUAUGGGAUUUGUUCUUUAUUUUUUCCUUUUAGAAAAAUAAAUAGAAACGAAUCGGUAGGGGAGCGUUCUGCACUGGGUGAAGCUUUGAUGGAAGUCUUGGUGGACGGUGCGGAAGUGAGAAUGUCGGCUUGAGUAACGAAAACAUUGGUGAGAAUCCAAUGCCCCGAAAACCUAAGGGUUCCUCUACAAGGUUCGUCCGUGGGGGGUGAGUCAGGACCUAAGGCGAGGCCGAGCGGCGUAGUCGAUGGCAAACAGGUUAAUAUUCCUGUACUCAUUUUUGUGGGAACCGAGGGACGAAGAAAGCGAAAUUGGGUCUGUCUUUGGUAUGGCAGUGGAAGCGUUCAAGGUGUUGAGAGGUCGAAAAAAAACGAAUCUUGAGCUGAGGCGUGAUCCCGCUUUCUAGACUUGUUCUGGAUAAGCGCCAAUGAUGUUAUACUUCCAAGAAAAGCUCGUACACCUCUAGAAGCAAUUCUAGAAAAACACAAAAAUGACCUGUACCUGAAACCGACACAGGUAGGUUGGUAGAGAAUACUAAGGGGCGCGAGAGAACUCUCUCUAAGGAACUCGGCAAACUAGCCCCGUAACUUCGGGAGAAGGGGCGCCCUCUUUAACGGGAGGGUCGCAGUGACGAGGUUCUGGCAACUGUUUAUCAAAAACACAGGUCUCCGCAAAGUCGUAAGACAAUAUAUGGGGGCUGACGCCUGCCCAGUGCCGGAAGGUCAAGGAAGUUGGUUAUAAAUCUUCGGAUUUAGAAGCUGACGACCGAAGCCCCGGUGAACGGCGGCUGUAACAAUGACAGUCCUAAGGUAGCGAAAUUCAUUGUCGAGUAAGUUUCGACCUGCACGAAAGGCGUAAUGAUCAGAACGCUGUCUCGGAGAGAGGCUCGGUGAAAUAGACUUGUCCGUGAAGAUGCGGACUACUAAUACUUGGACAGAAAGACCCUAUGAAGCUUGACUGUAUCCUGGAAUUGGGUUCGGGCUUUUCUUGCGCAGUCUAGGUGGGAGGCUAUGAAGAUUUCCUUCCGGGGAAGUUGGAGCCGUCAGUGAGAGACCACUCUGGAGAGGCUAGAAUCCUAAUGGUGAUCCUUGAAUCAGGACACUUGACAGUUUCAGGUGGGCAGUUUUUCUGGGGCGGAAGCCUCAUAAAGGGUAACUGAGGCGCGCAAAGGUUCCCUCAGUCUGGACGGAAAUCAGACAACGAGUGUAAAGGCAAAAGGGAGCUUGACUGCAAGACCUACAAGUCGAGCAGGAGCGAAAGCUGGCCUUAGUGAUCCGACGGUACCGUGUGGAAGGGCCGUCGCUCAACGAAUAAAAGUUACUCUAGGGAUAACAGGCUGAUCUUCUCCAAGAGUUCACAUCGACGAGAAGGUUUGGCACCUCGAUGUCGGCUCAUCACAUCCUGGGGCUGUAGUAGGUCCCAAGGGUUGGGCUGUUCGCCCAUUAAAGUGGUACGUGAGCUGGGUUCAGAACGUCGUAAGACAGUUCGGUCCAUAUCCGGUAUUAGCGUUAGAAUAUUGAGGUCAGUCACUCAUAGUACGAGAGGACCUGUAGUGAACAUGCCAAUGGUGUACCUGUUAUCUUUCCAAAGGUAAACGCAGGGUAGCCACGCAUGGAGUGAAUAAGUACUGAAUGCAUCUAAGUACGAAGUCCAGACCAAGAUGAGUAUUCUCCAUAAAGCCGCAGCAAGACAAGCUGUUUUAUAGGUAUCAAGUGUAAGGCC
This 2918-nucleotide ribosomal RNA is filed under the name Scenedesmus acutus. RNAcentral's name for it is "bacterial LSU rRNA". It matches the Rfam family "Bacterial large subunit ribosomal RNA". Lineage: Eukaryota; Viridiplantae; Chlorophyta; Chlorophyceae; Sphaeropleales; Scenedesmaceae. The record is from RNAcentral.